GCCAGGCAUGGUGUCUCAUGCCUGUAAUCCCAACAUUUGGGAGGCUGAGAUGGGUGGAUCACCUGAGGUCAGGAGUUUGAGACCAGCCUGGCCAACAUGGUGAAAGCCCAUCUUUA
Unclassified non-coding RNA from Callithrix jacchus (white-tufted-ear marmoset), 116 nucleotides. It matches the Rfam family "Metazoan signal recognition particle RNA". Rfam says of the family: The signal recognition particle (SRP) is a universally conserved ribonucleoprotein. It is involved in the co-translational targeting of proteins to membranes. The eukaryotic SRP consists of a 300-nucleotide 7S RNA and six proteins: SRPs 72, 68, 54, 19, 14, and 9. NCBI's taxonomy places the organism in Eukaryota, Metazoa, Chordata, Mammalia, Primates, Cebidae. The record is from Ensembl.